RNAcentral lists this ribosomal RNA (253 nucleotides) under uncultured bacterium. RNAcentral describes it as "partial 16S ribosomal RNA". It matches the Rfam family "Bacterial small subunit ribosomal RNA", at positions 524 to 776 of the family's 1533-position model. The record is from RNAcentral.
UACGGAGGGUGCAAACGUUGCUCGGAAUUAUUGGGCGUAAAGCGCACGUAGGCGGGUCAUCAAGUCGGAUGUGAAAUCCCUCGGCUUAACCGAGGACGUGCAUUCGAUACUGACGACCUUGAGUACGAAAGAGGAUCGCGGAAUUCCCGGUGUAGAGGUGAAAUUCGUAGAUAUCGGGAGGAACACCAGUGGCGAAGGCGGCGAUCUGGGUCGAUACUGACGCUGAGGUGCGAAAGCGUGGGGAGCAAACAGG